AUGCAGCCGAGGCCAGCCCAGGACGCCCUCUUCUGGCUUCUGCUCCCAGCACAGCGCCGGCCUGCAGCUCUGAACCCUACCGCCAACGGUGCGGCGCGCGGCCGGCCGGAGCGUAUCCUCGCCGGCUAUCCGGCGCCGCCACCAGGCACCGUCUUCCGCAACUCCAUACCUUCGGGUGCUCACUCCUCCGGGCCCCGACCUCAAGACCGUGUCGGCCGCUCGGCGGAGCCCGUGAAUCCUCAAUCCUCAGGGCUCAGGCUGUCCACUUCCUCAAGACCACUCAGCAUGGACUCCCUUCAUCUUGUGCACGUCAAGCUUCUGGCUGCCGACCUUCUCACGCUCACCCCCCGACAUACAUCGCCGGCUUCCUUUGUUCGCUGUGGCCGUACAGUUGCUCGUGCCGAGGUUGUCGGGAUCGUUGUUUCACGUGACCGCAGGGAGAAGUUUCUCCGCUUCCUGGUUGAUGAUGGCACUGGCUGUAUACCGUGUGUCCUGUGGUUGAACCACCGGUACCUGAAUGCAAACAGUUCAUCCGAUUCUGAUCCAACUGGAGAGAUGGCAUUGAAAAUGUCGGAGGUGGUACGCCUGGGCACCCUGUUGAGGGUUCGUGGGAGGAUUGUCAUGUACCGUGGUGCAAUUCAGAUUGCUGCUAGAGACGUGGUUCUAGAGGAGGACCCUAAUGUGGAGGUUCUACAUUGGUUGCAUUAUUCAUUAAAGGCAUACAUGGUUAAACUCAACUCGAAACAUGCAAGUCUUGCUGAUGAUAUGAUUUAUCCAGCGGUUAUAUGUCUCCGGAAUAUGCAAUGGAAGGCCUCUUUUCUGUUAAGUCUGAUGUCUAUAGCUUUGGAGUAUUGCUCUUGGAAACUGCAUGGAGUCUAUGGAGGGAAGGGCUGGCAAAAGAUCUUGUGGAUCCAUCUGUUUCAGAGAGCUGCUCGGAUGAAGAAGUUUUGUGUUGCAUUCAUGUCGGGCUCUUGUGUGUUCAGGAUGACUCGGAUGCGAGACCACCCAUGUCAACGGUUUUAA
This 1023-nucleotide ribosomal RNA is filed under the name Triticum aestivum (bread wheat). RNAcentral's name for it is "partial small subunit ribosomal RNA". The record is from RNAcentral. Lineage: Eukaryota; Viridiplantae; Streptophyta; Magnoliopsida; Poales; Poaceae.